This 253-nucleotide ribosomal RNA is filed under the name uncultured bacterium. Its description in RNAcentral is "partial 16S ribosomal RNA". It matches the Rfam family "Bacterial small subunit ribosomal RNA", at positions 524 to 776 of the family's 1533-position model. The record is from RNAcentral.
UACAUAGGUCUCAAGCGUUGUUCGGAUUCAUUGGGCGUAAAGGGUGCGUAGGCGGCUCGGUAAGUCGGGUGUGAAAUCUUGGAGCUUAACUCCGAAACUGCAUUCGAUACUGCCGUGCUUGAGGACUGGAGAGGAGACUGGAAUUUACGGUGUAGCGGUGAAAUGCGUAGAUAUCGUAAGGAAGACCAGUGGCGAAGGCGGGUCUCUGGGACGGUACUGACGCUGAGACGCGAAAGCGUGGGGAGCGAACAGG